Rhopalosiphum maidis (corn leaf aphid) is the source of this 1008-nucleotide long non-coding RNA. RefSeq lists it as uncharacterized. Lineage: Eukaryota; Metazoa; Arthropoda; Insecta; Hemiptera; Aphididae. The record is from RefSeq and is a predicted model, not a curated record. The transcript has 3 exons.
UUUCAGUUGAUAUGAAAAGAUCCACUUCUGUACUUGGUUGAGUUUCACCAUCAGGAGCCUGUCAAAACAAAUUACAUUUUUUAUUUCAAUACUAUUAUUUUAUUAAUACAACAAAGAUGAUUUAUUUUACUCAUCCAACUUACCAAAGCCUAUUUUACAAUCCAAAUACACUGCUUCUUCAGCUUGCAUCAUCCUGGUACUUUUUGUCGGUUGUCCUUCACAAGCCAACUGCGUAGAACCCAAGUAACGUGCUCGAAAUAAAACACCUUCAAUUAAUACUGCAGGUUUACGGGAUGACGGAAGAAACUUUUAAAAACCAGGACGUCCAAACACCCUAAUUGUACAGAACUUGAUAAACCACUUGUCCCAGCUCUUCACCUUACUUAUAGCCAAUAAGCAAUCUAUAUUUAAUUGUAUUAUUUUUGACUACAUAUUUAAUUGAAAAGUAGAAUUUUUAUAAUCUCAUAAGAAUUACUAUGGAUUUCAACAGUUGUCUUAGAAAGAUAACAAAUUUUUAAAUGUAUAAUUAAGUAAGAUAAAACUUUUUAAGUAGUUUUUCUACCCACAAAAUUGUUAAUAUAUAUUCAUAAUUAAUUGAAUAACUAAUAUACUGCAUCUAGUUUCACUCAGAAACUAAAAAUAAAUAUUAUAUAAUUAAGUUUAUAAUUUGAUGAUAGUUAUAAUGUUUGUAUAAUACAAGAUAUUUGUAAAGACUUUAACUAAUUAACUCAAAGUACUUUGCUGUUGACAGGCAAGCUGAUAGCAAGUGUAAAAAAGCAUCAUUAUUCAUAACCUCAAGUUUAGUUAAUUUUUUAGUUAAGCAUAAUUAUUGUUUAAAUAAUAUUAUAUUGCCUUUUAAGUGUUGACUAGCAAUAAAAGCAUUGAAACAAAAUCAUUAUUGAAUACUGCUGAAAAUUGCUUCUCAAUUUUCCAUGCGGCAUAAUAUAUUAGCGGUUAUUCAUUGUUUUUUACAAUUUAUUAAAAAUAUUAUUAAAUCAUUUCAAUUUU